GGAUUAGAUACCCUGGUAGUCCACGCCGUAAACGAUGUCUACUAGCCGUUGGGGUACUUGAGACCUUAGUGGCGCAGCUAACGCACUAAGUAGACCGCCUGGGGAGUACGGCCGCAAGGUUAAAACUCAAAUGAAUUGACGGGGGCCCGCACAAGCGGUGGAGCAUGUGGUUUAAUUCGAUGCAACGCGAAGAACCUUACCAGGUCUUGACAUACAGCGAACUUUCCAGAGAUGGAUUGGUGCCUUCGGGAACGCUGAUACAGGUGCUGCAUGGCUGUCGUCAGCUCGUGCCG
This 293-nucleotide ribosomal RNA is filed under the name uncultured bacterium. RNAcentral's name for it is "partial 16S ribosomal RNA". It matches the Rfam family "Bacterial small subunit ribosomal RNA", at positions 775 to 1067 of the family's 1533-position model. The record is from RNAcentral.